RNAcentral lists this ribosomal RNA (349 nucleotides) under Mallotus villosus (capelin). Its description in RNAcentral is "partial 12S ribosomal RNA". It matches the Rfam family "Microsporidia small subunit ribosomal RNA", at positions 777 to 1195 of the family's 1311-position model. The record is from RNAcentral. Lineage: Eukaryota; Metazoa; Chordata; Actinopteri; Osmeriformes; Salangidae.
CCCAAAGGACUUGGCGGUGCCUCACACCCACCUAGAGGAGCCUGUUCACCCACCUAGAGGAGCCUGUUCUUGAAUCGAUAAUCCCCGUUCAACCUCACCACCCCUUGUUAGACCCGCCUAUAUACCGCCGUCGUCAGCUCACCCUGUGAAGGACUUAAAGUGAGCAGAAUGGGCAAAACCCAGAACGUCAGGUCAAGGUGCAGCGUAUGAGGUGGGAAGUAAUGGGCUACAUUACCUACAACAGGUUACUACGGAUGGAGCCGUGAAACCGGCUCCUAAAGGUGGAUUUAGCAGUAAGGGGGAAAUAGAGAGUUCUCCUGAAGCCGGCUCUGAGGCGCGCACAUACCGC